Molecule: ribosomal RNA, 253 nt
Filed under: uncultured bacterium
Lineage: Bacteria
Description: partial 16S ribosomal RNA
Rfam family: Bacterial small subunit ribosomal RNA
Source: RNAcentral
UACGUAGGGUGCGAGCGUUGUCCGGAAUUACUGGGCGUAAAGAGCUCGUAGGCGGUUUGUCGCGUUUUUCGUGAAAACUCACAACUCAAUUGUGGGCGUGCGGGCGAUACGGGCAGACUGGAGUACUGCAGGGGAGACUGGAAUUCCUGGUGUAGCGGUGGAAUGCGCAGAUAUCAGGAGGAACACCGGUGGCGAAGGCGGGUCUCUGGGCAGUAACUGACGCUGAGGAGCGAAAGCGUGGGGAGCGAACAGG